UCCCUGGUAGCUCAAUUGGCUAGAGCGUGGGACUUUUACUACAAAGCGGAAAAUCCCAAGGUUGGGGGUUCGACCCCCCCCCAGGGAG
This is a non-coding RNA of Xylariaceae sp. FL0804, 88 nucleotides long. The record is from the annotation of a GenBank genome assembly. NCBI's taxonomy places the organism in Eukaryota, Fungi, Ascomycota, Sordariomycetes, Xylariales, Xylariaceae.